Molecule: long non-coding RNA, 393 nt
Filed under: Vulpes vulpes (red fox)
Lineage: Eukaryota; Metazoa; Chordata; Mammalia; Carnivora; Canidae
Description: lncRNA (ENSVVUG00000019587.1)
Source: RNAcentral
AUGUUGGAAAUUCUGGCAAUAGAACCCUACUAGCUAGGAGUCCCUCUAGCAUCUUUAUGUUUCUUUCAUAGCAUCUAUUCAGAAGUCACAAAACUUCAAGACUUCAAUUUCCUUGUUAUGAGCAGAGGGAUAAAGGCAUGGCUCUGUCUCAUCAUAACAAAUGACCAAAGAUAACAAAACUGUAACUUUUUAUACAGUUUUGACACAGAACACAAUUAAAAGCCAUAUUCAAAAGUUACAGCAGAGUGGAGAAGAAUUUGGAUGUCAAAGUUUUCAGUGCUAUGUUGGGGAUUUAGAGUAUCAACAAUGAGGUUUGAAUGUUUAUUACAUUAUGUGUAUGUAGUAGUACCUUACUGUGUUAAGUUGCAAUUUCCUGAUAACUAAUACAACAGA